AGACGUGAAACCCCACCAGCGAAUCUCAAAAAAAGGGAAAAAAAAAUCACCAGCGCCGUCCACUGCUGCGAGCCUGCGAGCGUGUCCCGAUCAGGCCAAUCAGAACCUCCAAGGAGAAAUCAACGGCUCAUAAGCAUCGGCAUCUGCAGAUCAAACGGAGCUGGUUCACCAUAGUGGGCUCUAGCCGCUCUACACCGGCUCGAUCUCCUCAUAUUACGGGCGUACCGUGCGCCCAUGCGCGACGCGUGGCACGCGCUCGCCAGGUCGACGGACCAGAGCCGAUGUGAGCCGCCCACGUGGCACGCCUACGUGCAGGCUGAUGCAGCGUCGCGGUUGUUGCGAGCCUAUGGACCCGGUCCACGAGAGGAUACGUGUAACACCCCCUCCCCUCUUGCCCUGUCCCCUUCCUCCACCGAUGAAAAGAAAACAGAAGCUUCUCUUCCCCUCUCCCCCAAAACAAAAGCAUCAAAAUAUUCCUCCUAAAUCAAAAGAAAAACAAUCAAUUUCAAACGAGCCAUCUCUCUCCAUUCUCGUGCCCCUCCUGUCUCCGCGCAUUCCUCCGCCGGAAACCCUGGUUCAUCGGCGAGCGGCGAGGCUCGGGGACUCGAUUACCCUGCGAGGAAUCGAGGUCGGACCGCGGGUGGGGAAGGCGAAGAUGGCGGGGUCCAUCGAUCGGCCCUCAGGUGCAGGUUUUGAAGGCAUUGUGCAUGAUGAUGAUAAGAAAGAGUGGAAAUCCGAUGAGGACAACUCAGAAGGUGACAAAAAGGCCAAGGCAGUCUCCUUCAAGAACCGAGCUAUCAGUGCUGGAAAUAAAUUUAGGCGUUCCUUGAGAAGGAAGAGAAGAAGGAGGGUCGGCGACCAUGUAGCCUCUAUAGAGGACAUAAGGGAUGUCAAGGAGCUGGAAGCUGUCCAAAGAUUUCACCAGUGCUUACAUGAUGAGGGCUUGUUGCCAGAACGUCAUGAUGAUUAUCACGUGAUGUUGAGGUUCCUGAAAGCGCGAAAAUUUGAUAUUGAUAAAGCAAAACAUAUGUGGUCGGAAAUGCUUAGAUGGAGGAAGGAGUUCGGGGCUGACAACAUAGAGGAAUUUGACUAUAGCGAAUUAGAUGAUGUUCUGGAGUGCUAUCCACAAUUUUACCAUGGUGUGGAUAAAGAGGGAAGGCCUGUCUACAUAGAACUAAUUGGAAAAGUUGAUCCCAACAAAUUAGUACAAGUCACAACUAUUGACAGAUAUGUAAAGUAUCAUGUCAAGGAGUCCGAGAAGUGCUUGCAGAUGAGGUUUCCAGCUUGCUCCAUUGCUGCAAAAAGGCACAUAGAUUCGUGCAGUACUAUCUUGGAUGUGCAAGGAGUGGGUUUGAAGAACUUCUCAAAAGAUGCAAGAGAGCUAAUCAUGCGACUUCAGAAGAUCAACAAUGACAACUAUCCAGAGACCUUGCACCGAUUGUACAUUAUAAAUGCUGGCCAAGGCUUCAAGAUGUUAUGGGGUACAAUAAAAUCAUUUCUUGAUCCACAAACUGCUUCGAAGAUUCAUGUCCUUGGAAGCAAAUACCAAAAUAAGCUACUUGAAACUAUUGAUGAGAGUGAACUUCCAGAUUUUCUGGGUGGCAAAUGCAGGUGUGAAGAACAUGGAGGUUGCAUAAAAUCAGAUAAAGGUCCUUGGAAGGAUCCUGACAUAAUAAAGAGGGUCCUUAAUGGUGAAGCAAACUAUGGACGGAAAAUUCUUGCUAUAUCAAGCGUUGAUGGGAAGAAAAUAUGUUAUAUUAACCCUAGACACUUAACUAAAAAAUGCAGCGAUGCCUCUGCUGAGUCUAGUUCUGAAAUGGAAGAUGUUUCAUCUCCUAUAGCUUCAGUUAACCCCAUCAUAAACCCUCAUUUGACACCCGUUGACGAGUCCAAAUUGCCGGGAAAUACUUCCACAUCUGGUGCCCCUCCCAGAGUAGAGGACAUCCCUGUUGUUGACAAGGCUGUGGACACAUGCGCCGGUCCAUCAACCAGCUCAAUGGCUUUUAAUUCAGAUUCGUUCUCGUUGAGAAACAUAACGAUGGAACUGGGAGGACUUCGAAAUCGAAUUACUGCGUGGUUGAUAGUCUUAAUCGUGAGCUUUGUUGCCGUGCUUCGUUCUGUCCCAAGCAGAGUGACUGCAAGUCUAUCAAGCCAGGCCAUUUCCCGUGAAAACAGUACACAUUCGUCUGUAUUGAGACGUCUUGGUGAAUUGGAGGAGAAAUUACAGGAGCUUGAAGCAAAGCAAUCUCAAAUGCCACCGGAUAGAGAGGAAUUGCUCAAUGGAGCCAUUCACCGUGUUGAUGCAUUGGAAGCCGAGCUAAUAUCUACAAAGAAGGUACUGUUGAGUCUUGACAUAUCAUAUGCACUCUGUGGGUGUGCAUGUGUGACAAGGAAGAUGUACUCUCGUUAGAUAGCUUAUUGCUUAGUGGUAUCAAGGAUAUAACUACUGUUCUGAGAUGCUUUAUGAUGCAUUGAUGAGGCUGGACGAACUGCUUGCAUACGCCGACCAGCAAAAGAAUAUUCAAUUUCGGAAAAAGAGGUUCUGCUUCUAAGUACCAGAGUGGCUUGCUUGCUUUUCUCCUCGAAGGUUUCGUGUUCUUCUGUCAACUGAAUACUUGUAAGUUGGACUCUUUGUCCAAUUUUAAAACUGUGAAUAUUUUGUUCAGCCGUGUAUCUCUGAAUAUUAAAGAAAGAAAGAAAGGUGGGUGGUCACUUUGCCACCUAUUUGACUUAAUAGGCUUAGGUGUAUUUCUAAAUUUUGCAAGGUGCGGCGUGUAGUUCAGAGAAAUAAAGGGUGUAACAUGUAGAAUUGAUAUCUUGUUUUCAUGAUCGAUUGAGAUGUUAUGAUAUAUUAGUCAAACGUUCAUAAACAAAAUGUAAAAACUAGUAGCCUGGAGAAGUAUCCCAAGUAGGUCUUUCAGUGCAAAACUAUAUUGGAGGGGCUUCUUCUCUGUCUCCACUGGAUAGCGUCGGUGAGCGAAGACACUAGGGACUGGAAAUUGUCAGAUCUGAAUCGAUGGGGAUUCGGCCGAUUUUAGGGACAUAGUGACGAAUGAAAUAUGGAUGAGAGUUGUGUAUCAAGAUCAAGACGGUGCGGUUUUUUGGCGCAGCAGGGUACGUGAAGCGGGCGGUUUUUUAGCGCGACAGGGUUCGUGAGGCAGCUAAAGAUCGAAGCUUAGUCUUCUCGUCUUUUCUUUGCUAUAUUCUGUUGCUUCUUAGUUUUGGGGCCUGAAUUUUUUUAUCCAUGUAACUUUUGGCUGUGGAUAUAGAUGCCGAAUUUCUAUUCAUCUACUUAAAAGAAAAACUAUCCUCUCAGUGUCAAAA
This is a non-coding RNA of Oryza sativa Japonica Group (Japanese rice), 3324 nucleotides long. NCBI's taxonomy places the organism in Eukaryota, Viridiplantae, Streptophyta, Magnoliopsida, Poales, Poaceae. The record is from RefSeq and is a predicted model, not a curated record.